GAACUUGCCUCUUUCCGGCUUCCCCUCUCAGCUGCCAGCAGAGCUCGGCGCACUGAGCCAGACCUGACAAGUCGAGCACCGAGCAGUCAGGCUCCGCGGCGCCGGCACGCGGCCCCGCCCGCUCCUCCCGCCGGACCCGGACCGGAGCCUACGCGGGAUCGCGGCUCGUGAGUAGCAGGCCCAGAGAAUAUUCGCAUAAAUAAGAACUUCGCUUAAAAGCCACGACAGUAUCGGCGGCCAGUUUUGUAGGACCAACUAUUCAAGGAUACCCGAGUUAAGAAGAUUCUAACAGGAUAGACUGAUUUCCAUCCUGGAGGCAGAGCUCUACAGGUCUACCUACAAUAAGGAAGAGCUGAAUGUGCUCGCUAGUCAUUGCACUGUCUUCUUUGUGAAACCUACCGUUAAAGAUUACACAUGCUUCCCAACUGAGGCCUGAACCUCCAUCAAGAACUGAAAUGGGGGCAGCUAGGGUGGCUCAGCAGUUUAGCGCCACCUUCAGCCCAGGGUGUGAUUUUGGAGACCCAGGAUCGAGUCCCACAUCGGGCUCCCUGAAUAGUGGCUGCUUCUCCCUCUGCCUGUGUCUCUGCCUCUC
Long non-coding RNA from Canis lupus familiaris (dog), 592 nucleotides. RefSeq lists it as uncharacterized. The transcript has 3 exons. The record is from RefSeq and is a predicted model, not a curated record. Lineage: Eukaryota; Metazoa; Chordata; Mammalia; Carnivora; Canidae.